CUCACACAAUGGGAUAAAGAGCAUAGCUGGCGAUCCCGCAAGUGUUUUUGCCAUUGCGGAUCAUUCGCAUGUAGCCUCCUUCACCCCAUCCUGUUCCCCAACUGAGAAAAGAAAGGUUGGAAACUGAAUCUAAGGAAGUGAAAAUCUUACCUGAGCUGUAGAAGAGGAAGCUUGGAUGAUCAGCAUCUAUGGCAACAGUGAUUGGACCGAUGGUUGCCACGGCGUCAGCCAGUGCCUGUUCAUCUCUGGCCGGGAUGAAUCUGUAAUCACUGAUCCUGGCGACAACUGAACUUCUGUCAUAGAAACAGGGCUGACUAUCCUGUUGAAACCAGAUCCAAAAAACACAUUCAGAUUGGCCGAAUCACACAAAAACAUCUCAAAACGGACUCAAAUGACCAAGAGCACUCACCGCUGAAGUAUAGGGGAUAUUUGAUGAAGCCUUUUCCACAACGCCCAAUUUGAGGGGGCUUCCUCUUCUGAAUCUGCUGCCACCUGCAGAGGUGCCCACAUCAGGAGAGCAAACAGCGCCACCCACUGUGCUUGAUACGUAUCUAUACAAAACACACAUUACAUUAGCUUUAUCACUUUGGAUGAUCUAAACGCUUUUUUUGAGUUCUUUAUUUAGGUUGACAAACAAACAAAUAAGAAUAGUGAGCACAAUUUAGGUUCCUUUUCAAUUUUUAAAAAAUAUGUUUAAAACUAAAUAUUUUGCAUAAAUAUAUAACUAAAUGAACAUAAAUAAUUUGUUUAUAAUAUUUA
Molecule: long non-coding RNA, 759 nt
Organism: Onychostoma macrolepis
Lineage: Eukaryota; Metazoa; Chordata; Actinopteri; Cypriniformes; Cyprinidae
Exons: 3
Source: RefSeq, a predicted model, not a curated record